This 95-nucleotide transfer RNA is filed under the name Phaeomoniella chlamydospora. It matches the Rfam family "tRNA". From Rfam's summary of the family: Transfer RNA (tRNA) molecules are approximately 80 nucleotides in length. Their secondary structure includes four short double-helical elements and three loops (D, anti-codon, and T loops). The record is from Rfam by way of RNAcentral. Lineage: Eukaryota; Fungi; Ascomycota; Eurotiomycetes; Phaeomoniellales; Phaeomoniellaceae.
GCUCGGGUAGCUCAAUCGGUAGAGCGUGUGGCUCUUAUUACAAGUAGCAUUUAUCACAAACCUCAAGGUUGCGGGUUCGAGUCCCGCCUCGAGCU